GGGGAUGACCGGAUUCGACAGGAAAUACCAGAUACGUGUGGCAGAUCGGUGUUGUUUAGUCUGUUUCGCCGUAAGUAAGCAGAUUCCUUCCGGAUCAAACCGGAAUGACUAAAUAAGCGUCAAAAACAAAGUAUCAAGCUUUGUUGAGAACGUAAAGCUCGCCCUUAGCGGCAACUUUGCCCUCAACAUCGCUGCCUAAAUUCGCUUGAGCUUCGGCUCGCGAUUUAAGCCUUUCAUGGAAACUCUCCUUUAGCGGGGUCCCGUGGGAGAAAAACAAGCUAAAGUGCAGACUCUAGUGGCUUGUACGCCUGUUAGAGCAAAGUAAAAGCGUACAGUCGUUUCGCGGUUUACGCUAUCCUUUAUCGCGAUCCGUCUGAAACAGGAUGGCUAUAUCUGUAUACUGCAUGUGUUUGGCUUCUCUGGACGCGGGUUCAACUCCCGCCAUCUCCACCA
Molecule: transfer-messenger RNA, 453 nt
Filed under: Candidatus Dojkabacteria
Lineage: Bacteria
Also listed under: 1 other name
Description: OLB20 sp001567355 Standard tmRNA
Rfam family: transfer-messenger RNA
About the family: Bacterial tmRNA, also known as 10Sa RNA or SsrA, is named for its dual tRNA and mRNA-like properties.
Source: RNAcentral